Molecule: ribosomal RNA, 2698 nt
Filed under: Triticum aestivum (bread wheat)
Lineage: Eukaryota; Viridiplantae; Streptophyta; Magnoliopsida; Poales; Poaceae
Description: partial small subunit ribosomal RNA
Source: RNAcentral
GGCACUACCUGUUCCCCUGUGCUGUGCGGUCGAGGUCGAGGUCGAAACCUCCGCCUCGUCUAGCCUGCCUGCGCUCUCGUGCGGCUGCACCUCCUUCGGAGCGGCAGGCAGCGGCACGGCCACGGCCACGGCCUCCCUCUAAAAUGGUCUACGGGUACACAACUCCUCUCGAAAGGGACUGGGCUCGAACGACGAUGGACCUGACCUGCGUCCGUCCGUCCCCCGCAUCUUCGGUACCGAUACCCCCGUCACGAGAGGAGGUCGUCUCGUCGGAAGGAGCGGAGAGGCGAGAGGAGGAGGAGGAGGAGAAGUGGUCCUUUCGUCGUCGUCGUCGUCGUACUGUGGUACUACUAGUUCAUGAGGAGAUGCAGCAGUGGUGUGUGGUCCACCGGCCACACGAGGGUCGACCAACGGCCCGUGUGUUUGCCGGCCGUACAGCGGUCCUCGUGACCUUUCAGUUGUGGUGUGGUUAAGAGACGGGUUUAAGUCGUCGGAGUCGAGUUGAGAUGAGGGUACUCCGAGACGUUGUUACGUCCGGACCACUUCUCCUCCGAGGACAGGUCCCAGCUCACGAAGGAUAGGAGCCUGGGCCAGUGGUCGCCUACCGUCUUUGGGUUCUUGGAGUGGCCGGAGCUGUGGCGGCCUCACGACGUCGGGCUCAUGUCUCGUGGGCAGUCUUUCGUCGCGCCUCUGACGUCCCGACUCGUCAUGCUCUACUGGCCCCGAGGUUACCCGCUGCAGGGGCGGCUCCGGCGGCAGGACCAGCCUCUGCGCUUAUUGGGUCUCCGGUAAAGAAGAGGGCGGACCACCGUCGUCAAGGGGUUCGCGUACUGGUAGCAGCAGGAGACGAAGAAGAGUAAGGACGAGACGUUGUACCUGGCACAGUUAUACUCAUAGCGGUAGGAAGGGUACAGUCGUCUCAAGCCGACCUCGGGCCGUUGGCAACCAGAGUAGGUCAGAAGAAAGAAAACCCCGAUGGAAGAGUGAGUCUAAGAACCCCCGUAAACCCGACUGGCCAAACCGCCGUUCCACCAGGAACCUAAGCCCCAACAUACCACCAGAUAACGUUGUUAAGAAUGUGGUAAGCGACGGUUCGAGCCGGAAGGCAAGGAUGAACAGCACGCACGAAAGUACCCCUAUCCGCUCCCACAACGGUACGGCCGGUACUUGUUGUAAGAUAGGUUUACCUAGGGCCAAAGUCUCUCCUCGUCUAGGGAACGUAAUCACAUGUCACCUUACAUGGAACCAAGUCAAUGGCCGGACCGGAAGAGUGGAAAGGACUAUUCGUUUAAGCCGACCGGAAGACAAAAGAUACCUAAACCCAGGGACCCUUCGUAGACCAAAUGUGACACCGUUGAGUUUCGCGCGUCGAGAGGCUUACUUCUAGGCCUUCAUUGGCUCCUACUUUUCUCCGUGUAUGAUCCACCAUCAUGGUACUUCCUCGGACAAUCGAGGUAUGGUACCUUCAAUUAGGAUAGCUUCGGACGUCAUACCCGAGAGUAUCAUAGGGUAAAAACGGUGUUGACCCCUUGUAAGUAGGAGGAUUGCACCUACGGGUGCAUGAUGUUAGUCCAAGACUUCAAAUUAGAUUGCCUCAGGCCCGAAGACACGCAGAACGGCACCGACUGUUACCGGCACAAACGUUUGCAACCACCGACCUAUCGACUGUGUGAGCAACGCUCUCCCCAUAGCUAUUGUUUACAAGCGUUCUAGUACGUUAGGUAGCCAAAAGAACCUGGUCGGAACAAGGACUGUGACGACUCGUUUCAGGCAUGUGGCCGGUACCGGCACGACACAUACCGUACGUCAGUCCCCUCACUACGAAAAAGUGUCAGACCCGACAUGAGCUUGGUGGUCCUAUAUCCUGGCGCGAUGCGCCCACACGAAGAACCCGACAGCUUGUGGCGGCCGCACGAACGUCCUCAAAAACCAUGACGACGGUGACCGAUGUAAGAAGUCUUUCCGAGAACCCUGUCACACAAAGUCCACCGACAAGACGACAUGUAUCAUCCCUGUCACCACACCUUGCAGAAAAGCUGGCCUCUCUCCUAGGAGCUUAUUCGGCACCCUGCGUGCUAGGGUACGCGGCGAUAUACUUUUUUUUAUCGACUAAAAACGACUACAGACAGAAAAACCACAUGUGUGCUUCAUUUGGUCUCGCUCUCUAUGGGAUACUUUUUUGAGAGCAAAAAAUCGUUCUCUAUGUCAUCGACGUAAACUACAAGCCCGACACCUUUCUCACUUCUAGUGUGGCUUCUCGGCGUGAACUACAAAUGCGACCCAAUUUAAAGACGACACUUUCAGUUCUACGAUCCGAACCCUGGUUUCUUAAGAGACUUAGACUUUCGCCGACGACGUGCCUCCCUUAAUCGUGGACAAACAAGGACCUCCUUCAGGUUCUGAGGUUCGAUGAAAGGUUAUAAGGUCGAACAAGGACGUGGUUGAUUUCUUAAGGUGUACCAACAAGAUAAAAAAGCCUGCUUUCGCUACAAAAUUGGUACAAACGUCGACGACGGUUUAAGUACACCAUCAUAAUGUGUUCGUAAAAACCCUGUUGUUACAAUAAAAAAUACAACGCUAUAAACAACAAUGAUAACGACAAAGCGAACAGUACAUCAUACUGCUGAUAAUAGUGUACUGUUACUGAAAUAAAAACGUUACAAAUUUCGUAUAACCGCAUAGAUUUGCGGCUGAACCA